GUCGAACGGUAACAGGUCUUCGGAUGCUGACGAGUGGCGAACGGGUGAGUAACACAUCGGAACGUGCCUAGUAGUGGGGGAUAACUACUCGAAAGAGUAGCUAAUACCGCAUGAGAUCUAAGGAUGAAAGCAGGGGACCUUCGGGCCUUGCGCUACUAGAGCGGCUGAUGGCAGAUUAGGUAGUUGGUGGGAUAAAAGCUUACCAAGCCGACGAUCUGUAGCUGGUCUGAGAGGACGACCAGCCACACUGGGACUGAGACACGGCCCAGACUCCUACGGGAGGCAGCAGUGGGGAAUUUUGGACAAUGGGCGAAAGCCUGAUCCAGCAAUGCCGCGUGUAGGAUGAAGGCCCUCGGGUUGUAAACUACUUUUGUACGGAACGAAAAGACUCUCUCUAAUAAAGAGGGUCCAUGACGGUACCGUAAGAAUAAGCACCGGCUAACUACGUGCCAGCAGCCGCGGUAAUACGUAGGGUGCAAGCGUUAAUCGGAAUUACUGGGCGUAAAGCGUGCGCAGGCGGUUAUGUAAGACAGAGGUGAAAUCCCCGGGCUCAACCUGGGAACGGCCUUUGUGACUGCAUAGCUNGAGUACGGUAGAGGGGGAUGGAAUUCCGCGUGUAGCAGUGAAAUGCGUAGAUAUGCGGAGGAACACCGAUGGCGAAGGCAAUCCCCUGGACCUGUACUGACGCUCAUGCAC
RNAcentral lists this ribosomal RNA (696 nucleotides) under Comamonas sp. MYb21. RNAcentral's name for it is "bacterial SSU rRNA". It matches the Rfam family "Bacterial small subunit ribosomal RNA", at positions 61 to 754 of the family's 1533-position model. Lineage: Bacteria; Pseudomonadati; Pseudomonadota; Betaproteobacteria; Burkholderiales; Comamonadaceae. The record is from RNAcentral.